UGAGUUAACACUUGACAUACCUUACGCC
This 28-nucleotide small RNA is filed under the name Bombyx mori (domestic silkworm). Its description in RNAcentral is "ovarian small RNA-8243". The record is from RNAcentral. Lineage: Eukaryota; Metazoa; Arthropoda; Insecta; Lepidoptera; Bombycidae.